Molecule: ribosomal RNA, 1313 nt
Filed under: Solenaia carinata
Lineage: Eukaryota; Metazoa; Mollusca; Bivalvia; Unionida; Unionidae
Description: large ribosomal RNA subunit RNA
Rfam family: Archaeal large subunit ribosomal RNA (bases 861-1210)
Source: RNAcentral
AGAAUACUUAAGACCUUCAACCCAAACCCUAAAGUAAACCAACACAUAAAUCAGUACAACUCAAAUAACUUCACCAGAAACUAAAUUACCGCAAGGGCCUACAAAAUCUAUAUAAAAGAAAUGCUAAAUCACUAUACCUUUCGCACCAUGUAGCUGCAACAAAAAACAAUUAACUAUUGCCUCCCGAAAAGUGAGGAGCUAUUAUUAACACCCCCCCCCCGCAUUAGUGUGUCACUACUAAACCACAGUUAAUAAUAGGAGCAAAAUACCUUUCGAAUCACUUGAUAGCUGGCUGUUCCUUAAAAACAUAUAAGUGUGCCCUGACAGAAAACCACGAGUAAUUAACUGUCAGAGAAAAGUCAGUGAGGACAAGCUCGCUGAUAAAUAUAGAAAUAUGUCAAAUAAAACCUAUGCAAGUAGGCCCAAAAACAGCCAACAAAAUCCGUUAUAGGAAACAAACAUCAAAACUUAAUAUACAAAAACUAAUUCUAAACACAAGGAACCCUAAAACCAAACUAAUGUCUUAACGAACUGGCAAACUAUUAGUAUCUACAUUUACUCAAAAGAGCAAACACAAAUAAUUACCUCACCCGAUAACACAAUAAUCCUAACACCGCAGAUAAUGAACUCGGCAAAACUCUUUCUCGCCUGUUUACCAAAAACAUCGUCUUUUGUUUCCAAACAUAAAAGAUAUCGCCUGCCCAAUGAUUUAACUAUUAAAUGGCCGCGUUAGCGUGAGCGUGCUAAGGUAGCGUAAUAAACAGCUCUCUAAUUAGGAGCCAGUGAACGGCAAAACAGGAAAGAACUGUAUCACCUGCGCAAAGAAAACUUUUCAUUUAAGUGAAAAGACUUAAAUAAAGGAGAAAGACAAAAAGACCCCGCGGAACUCCCCUCACAAACUAAUGCUAACAGAAACACAAGCCACAGAAAUUGAGGUUGGUUGGGGCAACCUUGGAGCAAACAAAACCUCCAAACUCACCAUUAAAACUAAUAGAAAACUUACUACGGAAAAUAUAGCAGUUACCCCGGGGAUAACAGCGUAAUCCAGCUUGAGAGUACGCAUUGAAAGCUGGGUUUGCGACCUCGAUGUUGGCUUAGGGAAAGCAACUUGGCGCAGCCACUAAGUUUAUAUUGCCAGUCUGUUCGACUGCAAACCCCCUACACGAGCUGAGUUAAGACCGGCGAGAGCUAGGUUGGAUUAUAUCUUCUCCCAUUACUAACACUCUUUAUUGUACGAAAGGACCCAAAGAGGCACACAAAACUGUACCAUUUAUAAGCACAUAAUUAUACGCACACAUUCAAUUCACCACCUA